Molecule: ribosomal RNA, 253 nt
Filed under: uncultured bacterium
Lineage: Bacteria
Description: partial 16S ribosomal RNA
Rfam family: Bacterial small subunit ribosomal RNA
Source: RNAcentral
UACGAAGGGGGCUAGCGUUGUUCGGAAUUACUGGGCGUAAAGCGCGCGUAGGCGGUGAUCUUUGUCAGAGGUGAAAGCCCGGGGCUCAACUCCGGAAUUGCCUUUGAAACGGGAUUGCUUGAGUCCGAGAGAGGAUGGCGGAAUUCCUAGUGUAGAGGUGAAACUCGUAGAUAUUAGGAAGAACACCGGUGGCGAAGGCGGCCAUCUGGCUCGGUACUGACGCUCAGGCGCGAAAGCCAGGGGAGCAAACGGG